This 274-nucleotide ribosomal RNA is filed under the name uncultured bacterium. RNAcentral describes it as "partial 16S ribosomal RNA". It matches the Rfam family "Bacterial small subunit ribosomal RNA", at positions 523 to 796 of the family's 1533-position model. The record is from RNAcentral.
AUACAGAGGGUGCAAGCGUUAAUCGGAAUUACUGGGCGUAAAGCGCGCGUAGGCGGUUUGUUAAGUCGGAUGUGAAAGCCCUGGGCUCAACCUGGGAACUGCAUUCGAAACUGGCUGACUAGAGUAUGGUAGAGGGUGGUGGAAUUCCUAGUGUAGCGGUGAAAUGCGUAGAUAUUAGGAGGAACAUCAGUGGCGAAGGCGACCACCUGGACCAAUACUGACGCUGAGGUGCGAAAGCGUGGGGAGCAAACAGGAUUAGAAACCCCGGUAGUCC